AGCGCGCCUGCGCCGCCAUCACCGUCGCGGCCUUGGCACGUGAGCCCGACGCGACGCGCGCAAGGUACUCCUCAACGUCUUCCCGCGAGUUGAACACCAUCGCAUCCCUGACGGCAGGGAACUCCCAACGCUCUAUCAUCGAUCCUCGGCCGCCAUGGAGAAGACGGGGAAGGACGGAGGAAGAAGAUGACUAGUGAGGACUAGUGGGGUCCAUACGUCAUUGUCACAAGAGAGAUGAGACUAUAUCACUAUGGAGGCCUUAGAUAAUACGGAGACGCUGAGAACGCUUCGAUCAGAGAUGGACGGUGGAUAUGUAGGCGAAAGUUACAUCGUGACUUGCUUGAGUAAAGUUACUGAAUCCCAGUCCGUGGGUACUUUGCUCCCUAGCUGUGGAAACUUAUGACCUGUUAAUAAAGUAUACUGUGUAUGCUUUUUAGUUGGUGAAAAUUUUUGGUCUUGACUACUAUAAUAUUUUUGUUUGUAUUUGAUAAUUAUUAUCCAAUCAUAGACUAACUAGGCUCAAAUGAUUCGUCUCGCAAAUUACGGGUGAUCUAUACAAUUAAUUAUCUUUUAAUCUAUAUUUAAUGUUCAAUGUAUGCGUUGCA
This 605-nucleotide long non-coding RNA is filed under the name Sorghum bicolor (sorghum). Its description in RNAcentral is "long non-coding RNA (SBIC_LNC004125)". Lineage: Eukaryota; Viridiplantae; Streptophyta; Magnoliopsida; Poales; Poaceae. The record is from RNAcentral.